CUAAAGCAGCCCAAAGCUGCCGGCAAAAAGACUGGAUUUAAUCCACUAUUGCUGAUGGUCUCCUUGAGACUACGGCGGCAGCUUGCUUCAGGAGUGGGACAUCUGGUUGCCACAGUCCUGGAGCAAUUGCAGCUGUAGUAGCCAGAGAUCACUCCUUUUGUGGCAUGUGAUUCGGCCUUACUAUUUCUAAUUAGUUUUUUUAAUCAGGAUUUGAAUCCUUGCUGAGCUAUGGAUAGCACUGGAUGACCUUAAGCAAACCACACUUUCUCAGGCUGCCACACUUUCUCAGGCUGCCAAAAAGACAAAUAAAGGGGGUCCAAGGACAAAAUGCUGAACUCUCACUGAAAGACAGAAUGACUAAACUGAGGCUAUCAUACUUGGGAUAUAUUGUAAGACUACUUGUCUGAUUAGAAACAACACUAAUUCUGGAAAAAGCAAAAGGCAGUAGGAAAAGAGGGAGACCACACCACAGGUAGAUUGAUUCAAUUUCCUAAAAGGAAACAUUACAAUAUCUAGGGCUAUUUGGUAUUGAAAGAAGGGUAAUAAUGUAUGAGGGGGCAGGAUAUCAAAGUGCAUAAAAUGAUAUGUGAUGUGAAAAAAGUGGAUAGGGAGACAUUUUCCUAGAUCCUAGAUGACUCAGUGUUGUCCAAUGAAGCGCAACAGGGAGAUAUUUGGGCCACCAUUUACAGUUAAAUGAUAGAGUCUACUACCACAAGAUGUACUGAUUUAGAUAGCUUUUAAAGGCCAUGAGUCAAAUUCAUGGAGGACAAGAUUAUUUGCCUUUUUUUUUUGGCCUCUAAUUUGGCUUAUUACUAUUAUUAUUAUUAUUAUUAUUAUUAUUAUUAUUAUUAUUUGGCCACAUGUUGGCCAAAUUUGGAGGAAACUGGCAGGAUCACUGACAUUUUGUAGUUGCCCACCCUUGAACUGGGCCUCUCCACCCUGGUGAGCAGGAGUGUGUGUGUGUGUGGGGGGGGGAAUGUGUGCUGUGGCCCUCUUGGUUUCCCAUGGAUUUCCCAUUGGCUGCAGUAGGAAAAAGGAUUAUGUGUUACAGAGAUGGGCCUUUAGUGUGAUGCAAAGGGUUCUUCUUAUAAUUGCCUUGCAGCCUAUUGCCAAGGUCCUUGUAGCUCAGUGUUCUGAUUUUAACAACAGCUGGACAGCCAGCCAGCUGUGCCUCAUACAGCCUAGCCAGGAAGCAUGAAACAAUACUUCGUUCUUGGUCCAAGAACCCUUAGUCUGUGUAGAGAAGACUGAUUUAACUUUCCUGACUAACAGUGUUGCCAGAUAGACUGUCCUCAAGAUACAAAACAGAUUAAGGCUUUUAUGUGGGUCUCUUCCAAUGUAGCAAGACCAUACUUGGCUCCAUAGUGGCUUAUGAUUAGUAUCAGGCCUUAGCCGUACUUCCUUUCUCUCGGCAGGUGUCAACGUCACUGCACUGGGCCAAGGGAGAGACCAGCCAAGGGGUUCCUCUCUGGAUCAUCAUCUUAGCCAUUCUGAUUGGACUCCUGCUCCUGGCACUCCUCAUCUAUGUACUAUACAAGCUGGGCUUCUUCAAACGCUCUCUUCCUUACGGCACGGCCAUGGAGAAGGCUCAGCUGAAGCCACAAGCAGCGUCAGAGGCCUAGCAUGUCCAGCAUUGCCCUCUGCAUAUGUGUGUUGUCGCUGCUGCCCUGCAGAGGGGCACCAGUAUCAUCUGCCAUGAGCACCGGGGAGGGGAGCACAGCCAACACCAGCAGGGCAUAGAAAGGGCAGGGCCACAGCGGCUGAGCCCCCCAAUGGACUGCCACAAAGACCGGUGUGCCAGGCACCUCUCCCCCUCACUGAAAGAGGUUGUAAGCUCGAGGCUCAGUGCCCUCCCUCUCUUCCCCGUUCCUUGGGACUUGGAUCCUACAAACACGUCGUGCCCUCACUGAGAUUGGCAGCAGCCUUUGCUCCCAGUCAAAGGGAAUACUUGAAGCCGCUGGAGCGGCCGGUGCUGGCCUGAUCUCAGGCUCCCUCUGUCAAGCUGCCUGUUCCGUCCAUCUGUGAGGAAAGGAGUGUCGUCCUGGACAGUUUCCAAGCUGUCAAUCUUCUCUGAAAAGCUUGGUCAAAAGGAAGAUGCUGUUGAAGAAGAAAAGCACAAUCGCCUCCCAAGUCCAGCCCUUUCCCUUCCACAGGCCGGAAUGGAAGGUCCUGGGCUUUCACUUCCAGUCGUCCCCUGGCCUGCUUCCUGGGGAGAAUGACGUGGGACACAGACUUAAGCUGGGAAAGCCGGAUGCUCCUGUAAUGCCAAAGAUUUGCCACGUUGGGAAGCCAAGCCAUCGCCCGGUGUCGGCCCGGACUUGCCGACAGUCUUCGCACUGAUCUCCGGAAACUGCUAGAGAUUUUAUUUUUCAGAUGCCACUUUAAUUAAAAAGGAAGAAGAAGAAAUGAGGAAGCUGCUGCCGCCUCCUAAUAGCAGAGACAGGGGUUGCUUUUUAAUUUAAAUUGUCCAAUGUGCAAUAAAUGCUUCCAUAUUUUC
This is a long non-coding RNA of Sceloporus undulatus (fence lizard), 2497 nucleotides long. RefSeq lists it as uncharacterized. The record is from RefSeq and is a predicted model, not a curated record. The transcript has 2 exons. Lineage: Eukaryota; Metazoa; Chordata; Lepidosauria; Squamata; Phrynosomatidae.